This 299-nucleotide signal recognition particle RNA is filed under the name Saimiri boliviensis boliviensis (Bolivian squirrel monkey). Its description in RNAcentral is "Metazoan signal recognition particle RNA (ENSSBOG00000000590.1)". It matches the Rfam family "Metazoan signal recognition particle RNA". Rfam says of the family: The signal recognition particle (SRP) is a universally conserved ribonucleoprotein. It is involved in the co-translational targeting of proteins to membranes. The record is from RNAcentral. Lineage: Eukaryota; Metazoa; Chordata; Mammalia; Primates; Cebidae.
GCUGGGCACGGUGGCACAUGCCUGUGGUCCCAGCUACUCAGGAAGCUGAGGCUGGAGGAUAGCCUGAGUCCAGGAGAUCUGGGCUGUACUGCACUAUGCCAGUCAGGUCUCCGCACUAAGUUCGGCAUCAACGUGGCGACCUCCCAGGAGCAGGGGGCCACCAGGUUGCCUAAAGAGGGGUGAACCAGCCCAGGUCAGAUACAGAGCAGGUCAAAACUCCCAUGCUGAUCAGCAGUGGGACUGCACCUGUGAAUAGCCACUGCAUUCCAGCCUGGGCAACAUAGCAAGAUCCCGUCUCU